AACGCUGGCGGCGUGCCUAACACAUGCAAGUCGAACGCGAAAGUCCCGCUAGGGAUCAGUAGAGUGGCAAACGGGUGAGUAACACGUGGGUGACCUGCCUUCGAGUGGGGGAUAACGUCCCGAAAGGGACGCUAAUACCGCAUGACAUCUUGCUCUUGAACGAGUGGAGAUCAAAGCUGGGGAUCGCAAGACCUAGCGCUCAAAGAGGGGCCCGCGCCUGAUUAGCUAGUUGGUGGGGUAACGGCUCACUAAGGCGACGAUCAGUAUCCGGCCUGAGAGGGCGGACGGACACACUGGGAUUGAGACACGGCCCAGACUCCUACGGGAGGCAGCAGUGGGGAAUUGUUCGUAAUGGGCGCAAGCCUGACGACGCAACGCCGCGUGGAGGAUGAAGACCUUUGGGUCGUAAACUCCUUUCGAUCGAGACGAACGGCCUCCGGGUGAACAAUUCGGAGGAGUGACGGUACCGAGAGAAGAAGCCCCGGCUAACUCCGUGCCAUCAGCCGCGGUAAUAAGGU
RNAcentral lists this ribosomal RNA (518 nucleotides) under uncultured Acidobacteriota bacterium. Its description in RNAcentral is "bacterial SSU rRNA". It matches the Rfam family "Bacterial small subunit ribosomal RNA", at positions 32 to 529 of the family's 1533-position model. The record is from RNAcentral. Lineage: Bacteria; Pseudomonadati; Acidobacteriota.